AAUUUUGCAAUUGAAUUUGGUUUUCCGAAUUGCUUUCGCAUUCGGAAUGAAAAGGGAAUCCGGUUAAAAUCCGGAGCUGUACCCGCAGCUGUAAGUUCUGUAAAAAGGUUUUUGAGAUUCUUUGCCACUGGGAAAUCAGUGAUCAGUGUUCAGUUUUCUAUAACAACUGCCAACUGCCAAUUGCUAACUCUUAACUGAUAACUGAUAACUGCUAACUGAACAUUGAAAUACCGGGAAGGCAUCAAAAACAGGAACAAGCCAGAAGACCUGCCAUAAGCAAAUCGAAUGA
RNAcentral lists this non-coding RNA (289 nucleotides) under Alkalitalea saponilacus. The record is from RNAcentral. Lineage: Bacteria; Pseudomonadati; Bacteroidota; Bacteroidia; Marinilabiliales; Marinilabiliaceae.